This 483-nucleotide ribosomal RNA is filed under the name uncultured bacterium. RNAcentral's name for it is "partial 16S ribosomal RNA". It matches the Rfam family "Bacterial small subunit ribosomal RNA", at positions 30 to 507 of the family's 1533-position model. The record is from RNAcentral.
UUGAACGCUGGCGGCAUGCUUUACCCCUGCAAGUCGAACGGCAGCACGGGCUUCGGCCUGGUGGCGAGUGGCGAACGGGUGAGUAAUAUAUCGGAACGUACCCAGAAGUGGGGGAUAACGUAGCGAAAGUUACGCUAAUACCGCAUACGAUCUAUGGAUGAAAGCAGGGGACCGCAAGGCCUUGUGCUCCUGGAGCGGCCGAUAUCUGAUUAGCUAGUUGGUGAGGUAAAGGCUCACCAAGGCGACGAUCAGUAGCUGGUCUGAGAGGACGACCAGCCACACUGGAACUGAGACACGGUCCAGACUCCUACGGGAGGCAGCAGUGGGGAAUUUUGGACAAUGGGCGCAAGCCUGAUCCAGCAAUGCCGCGUGAGUGAAGAAGGCCUUCGGGUUGUAAAGCUCUUUUGUCAGGGAAGAAACGGUAGAGGCUAAUAUCCUUUGCUAAUGACGGUACCUGAAGAAUAAGCACCGGCUAACUACGUG